AAAGCACAGAGCUAUUCCUUGGAGAGAUUGGUGUUGCCGUGUUUGUUGGACUGGCAUGAGACAGAACAACAAUACCAUGAAAGUGAAACUGAAAAGAAAUCACAAGAUAGACGAUGAUGGAGGAACUGAUGAUCCAUCCCUUUAGAGACCUCGACGGUAUCAUCGAGAAAGAGAUUAAAUUUUAGAUCCAACUUCAAAGGUAAUUGAAACUCUAUAACUACAACAAUACUUCUAAGCUAUGUAUUUGAAACUCUAUAUUAUUUUGCUCCAGUUAUGUUAUUGUCUAAAAAUGGAUUGGGUUGAAAACAACUCCUCUUUGAUCAUAUAAAAUAUCUAACCAAUCUACAACAGUGUAAUCCCACUUGUGCGUCCACAAAAUUUAUGGAUUAAAACAUCACGGGAUGAAAUAAACACUACACACCUACUUGUGCGUCCACAAAAUUUUCUUGUGCAAGAAUAUAACAUAAUCUGCUAUCAAGCAUAUAGAGACAUCCUAUAGUUGCAGACUUGAAUCAAUCAAUGAAUAGAUCCAACCACAAAUAAUAACCAAGAUUAAACACAGCUAAAAAAGGUCUCUACUUGUGUAGCGUCCACAAAUUUUAUCGAACUAAACAGUAGAGACAUCUGGUACUUGCAUCCCUAUCUAGCUUACCAAUUCAUUCUGUUUGAACUAAACAAUAGAGACAUCUGGUUCUUGCAUCCCUAAACAGUAAAGACACUGGCUGAACAAAAUUUUGGGCAGACCUACCCAUUCAUUCUAUGGACGCUACACAAGUACUCGCAGACCUACCCAUUCAUUCUAUUUGAACUAAACAAUAAAGACACUGGCUUCAAACAGUAGAGACAUUUGGUAGUGCUAGAAUCAAAGUAAUUCGAACUAAACAGAGGAGACAUUACCUUGCAAAGUUGACGCCAAAGCAGAACUAUUCCUUCGAGAGAUUGGGGCUGCCGUGUUUGUGGCCUGGGGUGGCAUGGUUUUUAAGGACGACCCAAAUCGGCGUCGAUGGUAGGUCUGCAUCGAUUUGGGGUGAGGUUUUGGGCAGCAUGAUUCUCGUCGGUGGUAGGUUUGCGGGCUUUUAGGCUCCCAGAUUCUCGUCGAUCUGGGGCGAUGUUGGGGUCCCGCGCGCGAUUGUGUCGAUCUGGUGCAGAGGAGACAACCGUUGUGGCGGCACCACGGAGGCGGCACAAAAUUGAGAAGGUGCGCUGGGAGCCGACGAUAGGAUGUCACGGCAGCCGGCAGAGAUUUGUGCUGUAGCGACGGGAGGAGGGAGGGAGGAGGCGAGCGGGGCGAUGGGAACCGAAGUCCGAAGGAGCAGCACGAGAUGGAGGGCGGGAGCAGGGGCAGUGGUCACGGGAUUGAAGGUCGACUCUUUUGCCGUGGAUGGAAGGCGACGUCGAUGUAUACGUGAGGAUGGAAGGAGCCGCCGAGGUUGGAAGGCGGGGGCUCGAUCCUUGCUUUGUCGUAGGCGAGAUUCGUGGCCGCGGGUGUGGUCGGCGAGGACGACAGAGGCAAGGAUGGAAGGGUGCGGCAUGCGCGGCGGCGAAAAUGGUGGAGGUGCGGCGCGGAAAUCUUGGGAGGCGGAGGCGCAAGCGGAGCGGAGGAUGUCAGGGUGGGAGGCAGAACCGUGGGUGUGCACGCCUACACUCCUUUCUUAAGGAGUAGUAGAGAUUAUGAUCCAUAAAAAUGUUAAUGAUCCUCAUGUUAAAAGCCGAUUAACAAAGAUCUAUAUAUGAAAAGACUUACUUACUAGAGAGAAUUCUAUUAGCCGUCACCGCCUCCAAGGAGCGGACCCAAUGGGUGGUCCAUAUAGGCCACGACGCACCCUAAGAUCAUAUAAGGUUAGUUAGCAUAGUGGUGUAAGUAUUAUCUUUUGAACUUGGCAGUCAAGGUUUGAGUCUUGUUGAUUUCUGUUUUUUGUUUCUUUUUUUAUAUUUUUUCUGGCACACCCUAAGCGUAGUAGCUGGGUCCGCUACUGCCGCCUCCUCUCUCCUAGGGUUGUGGACGUCUAGUCUAAUAACCCAUCGUUGUUUCCCUCGCUGCGUGCGCGUUGCAAGCACAAUGUUCAUGUGGUAUUUUAUCCCUGCAUGUGUGGGUACCAUGGAAACGUCACGACUAUUGUUGAGGUAUUGAUCAACAACAAACUUGAGGAGUACAUGUGAACGUUUUGUUGUUGUUGUUGGUACGCAAGGACGUUUUGCUACUUCAACUAUAAAGACAUGUUCUUUUACAGUUGCGCUGCAUGUAUAGUGAUAACAAUCCAUGAUCCUUUACUCACAUGCUAUCUUAGUUGAACAAGGUAGAUAUGCAAGUAUGUAGCAUACACAUUUUCUAUAGUGGUAUUGGAGCUAGGUUAUGUGUUGUUUUUUAUCUAGAUGGUUUGCAUAUAGGUGAUAUGUCUAGUAAAUCGGAUAUAGUUUUGCUUUGGUUGUAAAAUAGACUGAGAUAGUUGUGGUAUAAUCACAUAACUUGUUUUCCCCUACCUGCUAGAAUCACCAUCGCAAUAUAAGAUCAGUUGCAUUCCAUUCCGGCCAGUAGAGGAGGAUAAAAGAAAAUAUAGGUAUGGCUGGAAAAAUAAAAAAGGUAGGCAACAAGAAUCGAUCCUACGACCUAUAGCUAAAAAUGUAGCAAUCUAUCCAUUACACCACAUCUCCUUAUGUGAUUAUAAUGGAAGAUAUAGGGUUUUAUAAAUUUAGGUAUGUCUGAUGCCAUACUAAGCCAUAAUGGCUCCUCCGCCACUGAUUCCGGCCACUCGCACAACUUGCCUCCACUGGUUGGAAUCACCAUUAGGACUAACAUGUUAUCUAUCUUUUAGGCUGGGAAAGACAACAAAUCUGAGUUGAAUGUAUUGCUAUUAUUCUAUCUCACGUGAUUUCCAAUAUGUCUAACACUGAAAAUAGCGGCAUUUGGAAUAUCUCGGAAUCAACUUAAUUUGAUCAAUUUGAUGAGAAUGCAAGUGAUGCUAACCAGAGUACUUAUGAGAAGCACACAAAUGACUCCAUGUACGUUAGUUGCAUUAUACUUGCCAUCAUAUCCUCUUAGCUUCAAAAGCAAUAUGAGUAUGUGGAUGCCCAAACUAUGAUUGUGGGACUCCAUGGUAUGCUUAUGAACCAAGCAAGAGUUGAGAGAUAUGAGAUCUUCAUGUCCCUAUUUUCAUGCAAGCUAACUAAAGGAAGUCCAAUUAGUCCUAAUGUAAUCAAGAUGGUGUUUUACAUUGAGAGCCUUGCCACGCUUGUUUUCGCUCUUCUUGAUGAGUUGGCUACGGUUAUGAUCCUCUAGUAUCUUCUUGAUAAGUUGUAUGGGAUGCUUAAGACGACCAAGGAGAGCAAUAUAAAGAAGUGUAAUCAUGUGAUGACAGUUCAUAAGGAUAGUAAGAAUCAGAAAAUCUUUAUGAAGGGCAAGGGAAAGGCUAAAGAUGAUAUCUCAAAUCCAAAUGCAAAGCCCAAGUCUGCCCUUCUCCUGAAGACAAAUGCUUCCAUUGUGGUGACCAUGGGCAUUGGUCUAGGAACAACAAGUACUUGGAGGACAAGAAAAAGAAAGAAAGUGAGACUUCUACUUUGGGUAUAUAUGUUAUUGAAAUUAAUCUUCUUGUUUCUUCUAGAGAAUCAUAUGCAUUUGAUACCAUAUCAAUGGUUCAUACAUGCAAAUUGUUGAGGGACUAAAAAGACUAGAAAAUUUGCAAGAGGUGAGUUUAAUAUGUGCAUCAGUAAUAGAGCAAAGGCAUUGCACUAGCCAUCGACACUUAUCAUUUGUUGUUACCCUUAGGGUUAGUUUUGGAAUUAAAUAAUUGUUAUUAUAUUCCAACUUUGUCUAAGAACAUUAUAUCUUCUUCAUGUUUAGAGGAAGAUGGUGGCUAUAAGAUAAUAAAUGAGAACAUAUGUUGUUCCAUUCAUUUGAAUAAUCUAUUUUAUGCAUGAUUUCCAUUAGUGAAUGUGUUGUAUAUCCUAGAUCUUGACGAUAACAUUAAUAUGAAAAGGCUCUAUAACCUAAUGAUUUCGACCCCACUUUUAUCCGGUGUUGUCUAUUUGGUCAUAUAAAUGGGAAAUGCAUAGAGAUGCUCCAUAAAUAUAGUCUUCUCAAGUCUUUUGUGUAGGAAACGGUGACGCCUAAGAGGGGGUGAUAUAGGACUUCAAAAAAUUUGCCUAUAAACCAAACCACAAAUAAAUCCCUAGAACAAAACCUAUGCAAAUAAGCAAUCUAGAAUGUGCAAACAAGGUUUUGUCUAAGUGUUGCUAUCUCUACUGCAAAAGGAGUUUUGCUACCUAAGUUCCAAUCAUAAAUAUUCUAACUAAAAUGGAGAGAUUGAAACUUAAGUACUUAUUGUAAAUGCGAAAGGUAAAGAGCAAAGGUAGAGAAAGCAAACUCUCGUGGAUAACGCCGAUAUUUUUUCCGAGGUAUCUAGAACCACACAAGGUCCCAACUAAUCCUCGUUGGUGCUUCUACACAAAGGGUAGCUUAUGCAAGGGUCGAGCACCACAGACGAAUAACUUCGUAGAGAGGCGCGGGACUUCUCUACGCGCAAAUGGUGCUCCGCUUCCAGCUACUCAUGGAUGUUCCCCGUCGUCUCCACUAUCGAGCUUCUGGCCAAAACAUCACGGGCCUCGUUCCCUUCGAUACACGGUGGCGGUCGUGACACAAACGCGGUUGUCACAGUCUCGCAAGACUCUCGCCCCACUCGGUACAAUUACAAUGGCUCGCACAAGAGCCGAGGGGUUUUGUGGUGUUUUCUAAACUCACUCAACUAACUAGGAAUCACCUAAAGCAAGCACAUAAGCGGUCUAACUAACCUAAGCACUUCAGAAAGCACCUAUGCUAAUCAUCGAGUGUCUAUUAAGCACUUGGGUGUAUGAGUACUUGGAAAUGUCUAUAACAUGUGUUGGUAUGUUGCUUGGGCUCCCACACCUUCAAAUGGCAGGUUGGGUGAAGUAUAUAUAGGCCCCAACUUAAAUAUAGUCGUUGGAGAAAAGUUGUUGCUCUCUGCAGCACACCAGACAGUCCGAUAGUAGGCAUCGGACAGUUCGAUGCUGUGUCUGAUGCCCCACUAGCCAUUGGAUAUGAGUGUUGCAUUCGACCGUUUCCACGUGUCAGCCUUGCACUAGACAGUCCGGUGGUGCACCGGACAGUCCGGUGACUCUCCUCCACUUUGUCACCAAGAAACUAGUCGUUGGACUUCUGUUCCCCAGUGCACCGGAUAGUCCACCGGGUGGCACCAGACAGUAUGCCGUUCUCAACCGGACAAUCCGCGAGUGGCUACACUUUCUUCAAGUCUUGGACUUUGCUUGAUACUGUUGAUCUUCACUUAUGGUCUUCAUAAUGUCUUCUUUUGAGAUGUUGCUUCCUCAGUGCCUUAGUCCAAGUCACUUUAGCAUCUUGUGAAUUACAAAUACAAACACUAGCAAACAUAUUAGUCCAUAGAUUAUGUUGAUCAUCAACCACCAAAAUCAUUUAGUUAAAUGAGUCGAGGUCCAUUUUCCUUACAUUUUUAUUUUGUAUAAUUUUAUACUUGAGGUCAUACUUACUUGACAAAAUUACUAAGGCACAUUUUCUAGUAAAAGUGAGAGAGCAAGUGACUUGGGUGGUCUUGUACAUACUGAUGUAUGUGAACUAACGAGUUCAAUAGAUAGAGGUGAGUUUUAGUAUUUCAUCAUUUUUAUUGAUGAUCUCAGUAGAUAUGGGUAUGUCUACUUAAUGAGGCAUAAAUAUAAAUCAUUUGAAAUGUUAAAAGAAUUUCAAAAUGAGUUACAUAAUUAGUUGGGGAAAACUAUUAAGUUUGUAUGAUCGGAUCAUGGAGGCAAAUAUUUAAGCCAUGAGUUUGAUGAUAAUCUAAAACAAUAUGGAAUUGUUCCAUAGUUGACUCCACCUGAUAUGCCUCAAUAGAAUGGGGUCUCUCAACAAAGGAGCUAGACUUUGCUAAAUAUGCUUUGAUCAAUGAUGAGCCAAGUUGAUCUUCCAUUAUGCUUCUAGGAUAUGCUCUAGAAACUAUUGUGUUUUCAUCAAACAUAGUUUCAUCUAAAUUAGUGGAUAAUACACCAUAUGAGAUAAGGACCAAGAAACAUCCUAGACUAUCUUUGCUUAAGAUAUGGUGUUAUGAGGCUUAUGUGAAACAUUUGACAUCUGAUAAACUCCAUCCUAAAUUUGAUAAGUGCUUCUUUGCAGGGCAUCUUAGGGGAAUCAAAGGAUAUUUAUUCUAUAGCCAGAAAGAAGGCAAAGUGUUUGUUGCUUAGAAUGGUGUCUUUUGGAGAAAUAGUUUCUCUCAAAAGGAGCUAGUGAGAGCAAGGUGCAACUUUGAAGAUUCAAGAAACAAUUGAAAUGGUUUUAGCCCCUACAAAUCCUCUACACAAAGUACAAUAAGUUGUAGAAGCAAUUAUUGAAGCACUGCCACUAUGUAGGCAUAGAGGACAUGUCACACUACUAACGAGGAUUAGUCGGAACCUUGCGUGGUUUUAGAUACCUCGGUUAAAAUACCGGCGUCGUCCACGAGAGUUUGCAUCUCUACCCUUGCUCUUUAUCUUUCGCAUUUACAUUAAGUACUUAAGUUUCAAUCUAUCUUCUCUAGUUAGAAUAUUUAGGAUUAAAACUUAGGUUUUGCGGUAGAGAUAGCAACACAUAGACUAAACCUAGUUUACACAUUCUAGAUUGUUUAUUUGCAUAGGUUUUGUUCUAGGAAUUUAAUUAUGGCCUAGUCUAGAGAUAGUUUUUAGACGUCCUAAUUCACCCCCCUCUUAGGCGUCACCGUUUCCUACAAGUGGUAUCAAAUAUCGAUUUGUCUCGUUUGAAAUGUUUUAGCUUCACCGCUAAUCGAGCCGACACUUUUUUGAGGAAGGGGAUGUAUACCCAUUUGGCUAAAAUUGCAUGAGCUCCAUGACGAGACAUCCAAUGUCAGUGAGCAAAAACAUUGCCUAGUCUUAAAUGAUUACAAUUAUUUUGCUAUGAAAGAUAAUGAGCUUGUUAGAGACAUAUAUUCUCGUUUGAAUCUAAUCAUCAAUGAACUCAAUUCUAUUCGAAUUAAUAAGUUAGGCGAUGCGGGCAUUGUGAGGAAUAUUUUCUCCCUACUGCCACAACAAAGAUAUGGGACCAUCAUCACCAUUCUUCACAACAUGGAGAACUUGAGUACAAUGACCCCGACAAUUGUGAUCGGAAAGAUUGCGGCAUUUGAAAUGUCGUGAAAGAUGGGUCAAGAGGAGCUAACUUCUUCAAGGCCAUAUGCUUUUGCAUGUGAUUAAAAGAAAGGCAAGAAAAAGGCUCCCACUCCAAGCUCCUAAAGUGAAGAAGAGGAAGAAGAAUGUGAUGAUGAUGAAGAUGGUCAACCCUCAACAUCAGCCUCCAAGGACGAAGAAACAAUCUGAGACAUCAAAGUUAAUGGGGAUGAUUCACAAGAUUAAUCUAAUGGGUGUGCCCCUGCAGGUCGAGGAUCUUCUCUUUAACAUUGACAUCAAAAGCAAAGAAAGAGAUGAUGCUUCACAUGCGGGGAGAAGGGCCACUUCAAGGACAACUGUCCAAAUAUGGCCGAACCCACAAAGAGGAGGAGCAAAGACAAGAUGCUUACAAGUGUCAAAACUUGGGAUGACUCUUCAAGUGAAAAUGAACCUCCAAGGACACGCAACCACCGCUCUUCAUCGCGCACUUCAUGGUCAUCACACAAAUGCCUUAUGGCAAGAGGUAAAGCAAGUAUCCCAUCCUCUAGUGACGAUAAUGAUGAUGAGGGAAAACCCUCCUUAGAUGAACUUCUGCAUGUCGUUAAAUUUUUUUGAGGAUGUCUACACUAAACAAAAGGCUCAACUUAAAACUUUAAAAAUAAGUUAAUUAGCUCUUAAAAUGUUUAUAAAUGUUUGCUAGAAAAUUUGAAACAUUUGCAAAUUUGAAUUGUGAGCUAACAACUAAAAUUGAGCAAUUAGAGUCUAAUGCUCCAUCCUCAACUACCGAUGAUAGUCUUAUAAAAAAGAAUGAAAAACUUAAGGCUAAGUUAGCUAGCUCUCAAGAAGCUAUUGAAAACUUGCUAGAGAAAAUGGAAAUUCUUAGCAUACACAAUAACGAGCUAACUACUAAGCUAGAAAACAUUGGUAGCACCCCAGGAGCAUCUUUAAUUGAAAUUCCUGAAAUCAUUAAGAAAGAUGCUUCUACUUCUUGCUUUGAUUAGUUGAUGAUUCUAACCCCUGCAACCAAGUUCUUAUUGAGAAUGUUGUUAUAGAAACAUGUUCGAAUGAGGUUGCAAAGGAGAAUGAGCAAUUAAGGCAAGAGGUGGCUCGCCAUGGCAAGGCCUUGUAUGAUAAGAAAGGCAAAGCGAAACAAAUUCAACCUCCUCAGGAUAACACCACUGCGGGAGUGAACAAGCCUAUGGAUGAAGAAACUGUGAUUUGUAGGCUAUGCCACAAGGAAGGCCACAAGUCUUACCAAUACAAGGCGGAGAUCAGAGAUAAGCAAAAGCAAAAGCUUAAGAAAAAAUCAACAAGCAAAAUCUCCAACACCUACAUCAACAAGGUGGACAAAAAUACCGCUACACCAUAUUUGAUCAAGAAGAAAAAGAAUGGAAAGGUGAUAGUGAUCAAGGCAAAUAAGCAAGCCAACAAAGGAAAGGGGGCCAAACACAUCUGGGUGCCAAAGGAGAUUAUCUCAACCAUGAAAAGCACCAAGAAGGUUUGGAUCCCAAGAGGGAAGUGAGAAGUCCAAAGGACUUUGGGAAAUUUGGAGACUUGUGGGAUGCAUCAUAUUGGAUCAAGUCUAUUGCCAAGUGGGUUAGUGAAUACUUUGGGCCCAAAUUCCCCACCCAUGACUAAGGUAACUAGAUUUAUUGCAUUUCUUUAUUUUUAUAUAUGAGUAUCUAUUUUCUUAUAUCUAGUUUUUACCUUACAUGCCUAGUUUUUACAUGUGGUAUUUACUUUUGAUUAUAAUUGCAUGCAUACUAGGUCAAUCAUAUGAUAGGAAUGCUUGUUUUCAAUUCAUAUUCUUGAGCAAACCUACAUGGUUUAAAAUGUUUAGUUAAGCACAACACAUAGCUUAUUUAACAUUCCUAAGUAAAUGACACUAAUGCUUCAAAGUUUAUAUCCUACUAGUGGUAUUCUCCAAAUGGUGUCAUUUUGACUUAUAUGUGCCAAUGCUCGGAUUAUAGAUAAUUUGGCCCUCUUGAUAUCAAAAUCAAAGUGCAAGUCUCCUACAAGUAUUCAAAACUUGUAUGCACACUUUCAGGGGGAUGUUAAUCUAUAAUCUAAGUCUUUGAGACUAAUACUUGUUUUCAAGUCUAUUAUGUGUAGUAGUCUCAUUGAAGGAAAAUAGAGUCCUCGGAGAAAGACAAUAAGCUCUCCACUGCAAAUCUACAAGAAUUUUCAAUUGACUCCACAAGUGGUUUCAUUCCACAAUUGGUAUCAUUUACAUGUCUUCUCUAGAAUUUGAUUAUACUAUAUUACAAAUCUUAUGCUUCCCGUAUUGCUAUAAAUGCAUAUGUUGUCAAAAUAUAUCUUUUACCUAUGCAUAGGGGGAGUUAGUCUAAUCAAUCAUGUCUUGUCCCUAUCUUUUCUCAUGUGCUUUUCCUAAGUAGAGGAUCUCCGACAGGGGGAGUAUAUCUUCGUCUAUGACAAAGGGGGAGAAUAUUCUUUCAAAAGGGGAGAACACUCGUUUAGGGGAGUAAGAUUUUAGAGCUACAAGUAGUAAAUCCUUUAGAGGGCAAGUCUUUUUGCUUCAUGUAUGCUUUUAAUGUCUUCCUUUUCGGUGUUUGAUUCUAAAGGGGGAGAACCAAAGCAACUCAAAAUAUAUCAAACACCACACAAUUUCAAAAUUUAAAAUCUUGAUCUUACAAGUGCUUUUGGUUCUUCAAGUAUCUUUGGUCUAAAAUAGGAAGCAUGUGGAUUAUGGAGUUAGUGGGAGGAUUAAGUCCAGAAUCUCACCUUGUGGGACAUUCAUGCAUCCUAGCAAGUAGAUUGUAUAUUUUCAUCAAAAUGUUUGUUAUAUUUGCGUGCUUUGGUUGUGUUGUCAUCAAUCACCAAAAGGGGAAGAUUGUAAGGAAAAUGGACCCGACCCAUUUGUCUAAAGGAUUUUGGUGUUUGAUGAUCAACAUAAUCUUGUGGACUAAUGUGUUUUCUAGUUUUUGUAUUUGUAGUUCACAGGAUGCGAAGAGGAUUGGACUGAGACUCUGAGGAUACAACACCUCAAAAGAAGACCUAAAAGUUCCAUAGAAGUCCAAGACUCAAGAUUGAAAAAACCCAAGGAAACAACAAAGAAAUCCAAGAAGUGGACAGUCAGCCAACACUCUUGUGGCACACCGGACAGUGAACAAUACAUGUCUGGUGUGCACCGGACUGUCCAAUGUGUGAUCGGACAGUCUGCGCAGAGAGCCCGCAACCAGGUGCUCUCGGGGCUGUAGCACCGGUCUGUCCGGUGUGCACCAGACAACCUGGGUAACAGUUGGAUCCAAUGGUCGACUGCUACAGACCUUAAUGAUCAGCUGACGUGGCUAGGGCACCGGACAUGUCUGGUGCGCCCGACGACAGAGCACUCAGCUUUCUGUCCAACGUCUAGAAUUGUGGGGGAAAUUAUAAAUACCCCACCAACCGACCAUUUGAAGGUGUGGGAGCUCAAGGAACAUACCACGACAUAUUGUAGACAAUUUCAAGUGCUCAUACACCCAAGUGCUUAAUAGAAUCACCAGGUGAUUAGCGUAGGUGCUUUACAAAGUGCAUAGGUUAGUUAGACCGCUUAUGCGCUUGCUCUAGGUGAAUCCUAGUUAGUUGAGUGAGUUUAGAAAAACCACACAACCCCUCGGCUCUUGCGCGAGUCAUUGUAAUUGUACCGAGUGGGGCGAGAGUCUUGCGAGACCGUGACAACCGAGUUUGUGUCACGACCGCCACCGUGUACCAAAGGGAACGAGGCCCGCGGUGUUUCGGCCGGAAGCUCGAUAGUGGAGACGGCAGGGAGCAUCCGAGAGGAGCCGGAAGCGAAGCACCACUUACGCAUGGAGAAGGCUCGCGACUCUCUACGGAGUUACUCAACCGAGGUGCUUGACUCUCACGUGGGCUACCCUUUGCAUAGGGUCACCAACGAGGAUUAGUCGGGACCUUGCAUGGUUCCGGAUACGUCGGUUAAAAUACCGGCAGCGUCCACGAGAGUUUGCAUCUCUACCAUUGCUCUUUACCUUCUGCAUUUACAUUAAGUACUUAAGUUUCAAUCUAUUUUCUCUAGUUAUAAUAUUUAUGAUUGAAACUUAGGUUUCGUGGUAGAGAUAGUAACACAUAUACUAAACCUAGUUUACACAUUCUAAAUUGUUUAUUUGCAUCGGUUUUGUUCUAGAGAUUUAAUUGUGGCUUAGUUUAGAGAAAGUUUUUAGAAGUCCUAAUUCACCCCUCUCUUAGGCAUCACCGUUUCCUACAUGCAUGAUGAAAGGCUGAUAAAAUAGACAUAUUUUUUCAAAUGCACAUAUUUUUAUGUCUGCAAUAGUUUUUGAGUUUACAAAUUUUUAGGCCACACGUGCCUACUACACUUGUUGGAUCCUAUUGAUGGCAAUGGUAAGAAAAGUGUCGGGGACCAUAAUUAGUGGUACCCUCAAGACUCCUAAUUCUCAGCUGGUAACCCCCAUCAGCACAAAGCUGCAAAGGCCUGAUGGGUGCGACUAAGUCAAGGAUCGGUCCAUUCGAGGGACCCGAUCACGCCUCGCCCGAGCCCAGCCUCGGGCAAGGGCAGCCGACCCCGGAGGAUCUACGUCUCGCCCGAGGCCCCCUCCAGCAACGGACACACCUUCGGCUCGCCUGAGGCCCAGUCUUCGCGAAGGAGAAACCUAGGCCAAAUCGCCACGCCAACCAACCAAAUCGCAUGAGCAUUUAAUGCAAAGGUGGCCUGACACCUUUAUCCUGACACGCGCCCUCCGGUCGACAGAGCCGAAGUGACCGCAGCCACUUCGCCGCUCCACUAACCGGUCUGACAAGAGGACAGCGCCGCCUGCGCCGCUCCGAUUGAUGUGCCACUCCACAGAGUGAGGCUGACAAGCAGCCAGGCCCGGCCUUAGGCGCCAUAGGAAACUCCGCUCCGCCCGACCCCAGGGCUCGGACUCGGGCUCAGCCCCGGAAGACGACGAACUCCGCUCCGCCCGACCCAGGGCUCGAACUCGGGCUCAGCCCCUGAAGACGACGAACUCCGCUCCGCCUGAACCCAGGGCUUGGACUCGGGCUCAGCCCCGGAAGACGAUGAACUCCUCUCCGCCCGACCCCAGGGCUCGGACUCGGGCUCAGCCCCAAAAGACGACGAACUCCGCUCCGCCCGACCUAGGGCUCGGACUCGGGCUCAGCCCCGGAAGACGACGAACUCCGCUUCGCCCGACCCCAGGGCUCGAACUCAGCUCUGGCCUCAGCCGACGGUCUCCGCCUCGCUCGACCCAGGGGCUCGGACUCGACCUCGGCCUCGGAAGACAGACUCGACCCCGACCUCGGAGGAGCCUCCACAUCGCCCAACCUAGGGCACGGACCGACCACGUCAACAGGAGGCGCCAUCAUUACCCUACCCCAAGCUGACUCAUGCUACGGGGAACAAGACUCCUAAUUCUUAGCUGGUAACCCCCAUCAACACAAAGCUGCAAAGGCCUGAUGGGUGCGACUAAGUCAAGGAUCGGUCCAUUCGAGGGACCCGAUCAUGCCUCGCCCGAGCCCAGCCUCGGGCAAGGGCAGCUGACCCCGGAGGAUCUACGUCUCGCCCGAGGCCCCCUCCAGCAACGGACACACCUUCGGCUCGCCUGAGGCCCAGUCUUCGCCAAGAAUCAACCUAGGCCAAAUCGCCACGCCAACCAACCAAAUCGCAGGAGCAUUUAAUGCAAAGGUGGCCUGACACCUUUAUCCUGACACGCGCCCUCCGGUCGACAGAGCCAAAGUGACCGCAGUCACUUCGCCGCUCCACUGAGCGGUCUGACAAGAGGACAGCGCCGCCUGCGCCGCUCCGAUUGAUGUGCCACUCCACAGAGUGAGGCUGACAAGCAGCCAGGCCCGGCCUCAGGCGCCAUAGGAAACUCCGCUCCGCCCGACCCUAGGGCUCGUACUCGGGCUCAGCCCCGGAAGACGACGAACUCCGCUCCGCCCGACCUAGGGCUCGGACUCGGGCUCAGCCCCUGAAGACGACGAACUCUGCUCCGCCUGACCCCAGGGCUCGGACUCGGGCUCAGCCCCGGAAGACGACGAACUCCGCUCCGCCCGACCCCAGGGCUCGGACUCGGGCUCAGCCCCGGAAGACGACGAACUCCGCUCCGCCCGACCCAGGGCUCGGACUCGGGCUCAGCCCCGGAAGACGACGAACUCCGCUUCGCCCGACCCCAUGGCUCGGACUCAGCUCUGGCCUCAGCCGACGGUCUCCGCCUCGCUCGACCCAGGGGCUCGGACUCGACCUCGGCCUCGGAAGACAGACUCGACCCCGACCUCGGAGGAGCCUCCACAUCGCCAACCUAGGGCACGGACCGACCACGUCAACAGGAGGCGCCAUCAUUACCCUACCCCAAGCUGACUCAUGCUACGGGGAACAAGACUGGCGUCCCAUCUGGCUCGCUCCGCCAGACAAGUAAUGAUGGCGCCCCGCACGCUCUAUGACGACGGCGGCUCUCAGUCCCCUUACGGAAGCAAGAGGACAUCAGCAAAGACUCGAUAGCCCCGACAGCUGUCCUUCCGCCAGGCUCCAGCGCUCCUCCGACGGCCACGACACCACACGAACUGGGUGCCAAAACCUCUCCGGCUGCCUCGAUGGCAUGUACUUAGGGCGCUAGCUCUCCUCCGCUAGACACGUUAGCACACUACUACACCCCCCAUUGUACACCUGGAUCCUCUCCUUACGCCUAUAAAAGGAAGGACCAGGGCCCUCUUACAGAGGGUUGGCCGCGCGGGGAAAGGACGGGACAGGCGCUCGCGUGAGGCCGCUCGCUCCCUCCCGCGUGGACGCUUGUAACCCCCUACUGCAAGCGCACCCGACCUGGGCGUGGGACAAGCACGAAGGCCGCGGGAUUUCCACCUCUCACGCCCGUCUCCCUCCGGCUGCCUUCCCCCCUUCGCUCUCCGUCUCGUGCCGACCCAUCUAGGCUGGGGCACGCGACGACAAUUCACUCGUCGGGCCAGGACCCCCCGGUCUCGAAACGCCGAUAGUUGGCGCGCCAGGUAGGGGCCUGCUGCGUGUUGACGAACAGCUUCCCGUCAAGCUCCAGAUGGGCAGUCUCCAGCAACCUUUCCAGCCCGGGACGGUGCUCCGUUUCGGGAGUCUUGAGUUCAUGUCCCUCGACGGCAGCUACGACAUGAUACUCCUUCCCUCGCCGUGCGACAGCGACAAUGGCAGCCGACAGCCCGCCCGCCGGCGGCGGAAUCGACGACGUCUUCCCCGCGUGGUGGAAGAACAACAUUCGAGCUCACCCCGUCCCCUCCCCCGCCGACGGAGGAGGAGGCGGGGCAACCAAGGCCAAGCAGGAGGCGGCACCUCGUCGGCUGUCGAGCGAGUCGACGGCGUCGGUGCCCCAACGGGGGGCACGUCGAGCAUCGACCUCGCGUCUGAGACGAAGACGAGCGCCGUAUCCCCGCAACGCGCCAAUCCCAAGCAAACGGACGACGCCAGCACGCUCGUGAAGGACUUGCUGGGCGUCACCCUCGUACCUGAGACGAUGGUGCAGUCAGUCCCUGACGCGACUUCGUCACCGCCCGUCGACCAAGAGGUACCAACCGAUUCCCAUUUCACACCUUUUGGAUUCAGCCUCGACCCGCCGAGCGACUUCGCUUUGGUGGGCGCUCUCGUAGAGGCGAGUCCAAACCCUCUGGGGUAUCGUAUGCGGUCGCCCUGAGACCGGAUGACGGACGUCUUGACCUACGGGCCCUCGGGGUCCGAGGAAGAUGAUGAGCCCGACUUCUGUUGGGAUUUCUCCGGACUUGGUAACCCCAGUGCCAUGCGGGACUUCAUGACCGCAUGCGACUACUGCCUUUCCGACUGUUCUGAUGGUAGCCACAGCCUCGGCGACGAGGACUGCGGCCCAAGUCGUGAAUGUUUCCACGUCGAUCUAGGGGGUCCCUCCGAAGGCAACCAUCUUGGUAUGCCGGAGAACGGUGAUCUCCCUAGGCCUGUGCCUCGCGUUGACAUCCUACGGGAGCUAGCUGUGGUCCCCGUUCCGACGGGGGGUCAUGACCCACAGCUCGAGCAAAUCCGCGGGGUGCAGGCCAGGCUCGACGAGGGAGCAGGAACACUUGAGCCGAUCCGCCGGGACGUCGGGCAGGAAUGGGCGGGCCAACCUCCGGCCGAGGAAGUGCGUCAUCUACCCCAGGGUUUCCAGCACCGCAUCGCCGACGAUGUCAGGGCAAGGCCGCCACCCGCUUCCAGUGGAGUCGGCCAGAACCUGGCUGCACCGGCAAUGCUCCUCCGCGUGAUGCCGGAGCCAUCAACCACCGAGGGGCGACGAAUUCAAGGAGAGCUCAAGAAUCUCCUGGAGGGCGCCGCGGUCCGACGGGCCGAAAGCUCCGCCUCCUGAAGGCAGGGGUACCCCUCGGAACAUCGCGCCGCGACUUCCCGAUUCAUACGGGAAGCCUCGGUCCACACCGGGCGCACGCGCAACACAGCGCCUGCGGCCCCGGGUCGCCUCGGCAACGAGCACCAUCACCGCAACCGUCGGGCCCACCUCGACGAGAGGGUGCGCCGAGGCUACCACCCCAGGCAUGGGGGACGCUACGACAGUGGGGAGGAUCGGAGUCCCUCGCCCGAACCACCCGGUCUGCAGGCUUUCAGCCGCGCCAUACGACGGGCGCCGUUCCCGACCCGGUUCCAAACCCCGACUACUAUCACAAAGUACUCGGGGGAGACGAGACCGGAACUAUGGCUCGCGGACUACCGGCUGGCCUGCCAACUGGGUGGAACGGACGAUGACAACCUCAUCAUCCGCAACCUCCCCCUGUUCCUCUCCGACACCGCUCGCGCCUGGUUGGAGCACCUGCCUCCGGGGCAAAUCUCCAACUGGGACGACCUGGUCCAAGCCUUUGUCGGCAAUUUCCAGGGCACGUACGUGCGCCCUGGAAACUCCUGGGAUCUCCGAAGCUGCCGACAGCAGCCGGGAGAGUCUCUCCGGGACUACAUCCGGCGAUUCUCGAAGCAGCGCACCGAGCUGCCCAACAUCACCGAUUCAAAUGUCAUCGGCGCGUUCCUUGUCGGCACCACCUGCCGCGACCUGGUGAGCAAGCUGGGUCGCAAGACCCCCACCAGGGCGAGCGAGCUGAUGGACAUCGCCACCAAGUUCGCCUCUGGCCAGGAGGCGGUUGAGGCUAUCUUCCGGAAGGACAAGCAGCCCCAGGGCCGCCCACCGGAAUAUGCCCCCGAGGCAUCAACUCAGCGUGGCGCCAAGAAGAAAGGCAAGAAGAAGUCGCAAGCGAAACGCGACGCCGCCGACGCGGACCUUGUCGCCGCCGCCGAGUACAAGAACCCUCGGAAACCCCCCGGAGGUGCCAACCUCUUCGACAAGAUGCUCAAGGAGUCGUGCCCCUAUCAUCAGGGGCCCAUCAAGCACACCCUUGAGGAGUGUUCCAUGCUUCGGCGCCACUUCCAUAGGGUCGGGCCACCCGCGGAGGGUGGCAGGGCUCGCGACGACGACAAGAAGGAAGAUCACCAGGCAGGAGAGUUCCCCGAGGUCCGCGACUGCUUCAUGAUCUACGGUGGGCAAGCGGCGAACACCUCGGCUCGGCACCGCAAGCAAGAGCGUCGGGAGGUCUGCUCGGUAAAGGUGGCGGUGCCAGUCUACCUAGACUGGUCCGACAAGCCCAUCACCUUCGACCAAGCCGACCAUCCCGACCGUAUGCCGAGCUCGGGGAAAUAUCCGCUCGUUGUCGACCCCGUCAUCGGCGACGUCAGGCUCACCAAGGUCCUCAUGGAUGGAGGCAGCAGCCUCAACAUCAUUUACGCCGAGACCCUCGGGCUCCUGCGUGUGGAUCUGUCCUCGGUCCGGGCAGGCGCUGCGCCUUUCCACGGGAUCAUCCCCGGGAAGCGCGUCCAGCCCCUCGGACAACUCGAUCUUCCCGUCUGCUUUGGGACGCCCUCCAACUUCCGAAGGGAGACCCUCACGUUCGAGGUGGUCGGGUUCCGAGGAACCUACCACGCAGUACUGGGGAGGCCAUGCUAAGCGAAGUUCAUGGCCGUCCCCAACUACACCUACCUCAAGCUCAAGAUGUCGGGCCCCAACGGGGUCAUCACCGUCGGCCCCACGUACCGACACGCGUUCGAAUGUGACGUGGAGUGCGUGGAGUACGCCGAGGCCCUCGCCGAAUCCGAGGCCCUCAUCGCCGACCUAGAGAGCCUCUCUAAGGAGGUGCCAGACGUGAAGCGCCACGCCGGCAACUUCGAGCCAGCGGAGAUGGUUAAGUCCGUCCCCCUCGACCCCAGCAGCGAUGCCUCCAAGCAGAUCUGGAUCGGCUCCGAGCUCGAUCCCAAAUAGGAAGCAGUGCUCGUCGACUUUCUCCGCGCGAACGCCGACGUUUUCGCGUGGAGUCCCUCGGACAUGCCCGGCAUACCGAGGGAUGUCGCCGAGCACUCGCUGGAUAUCUGAGCUAGAGCCCGACCCGUGAAGCAGCCUCUGCGCCGAUUCGACGAAGAAAAGCGCAGAGCCAUAGGCGAGGAGAUCCACAAGCUAAUGGCGGCAGGGUUCAUCAAAGAGGUAGUCCAUCCCGAAUGGCUUGCCAACCUUGUGCUUGUGAGAAAGAAAGGAGGGAAAUGGCGGAUGUGUGUAGACUACACUGGUCUAAACAAAGCAUGUCCGAAGGUUCCCUACCCUCUGCCUCGCAUCGACCAAAUCGUGGAUUCCACUGCUGGGUGCGAAACCCUGUCUUUCCUUGAUGCCUACUCAGGGUACCACCAAAUCAGGAUGAAAGAGUCCGACCAGCUCGCGACUUCUUUCAUCACACCCUUCGGCAUGUACUGUUAUGUCACCAUGCCGUUCGGCUUGAGGAAUGCGGGUGCGACGUACCAACGGUGCAUGAACCAUGUGUUCGGCGAACACAUUGGCCGGACGGUCGAGGCCUACGUCGAUGAUAUCGUAGUCAAGACGAGGAAAGCCUCCGACCUCCUUUCCGACCUUGAAGUGACAUUCCGAUGUCUCAAGGCGAAAGGCGUGAAGCUCAAUCCCAAGAAGUGUGUCUUCGGGGUUCCCCGAGGCAUGCUCUUGGGGUUCAUCGUCUCCGAGCGGGGCAUCGAAGCCAACCCGGAGAAGAUCGCGGCCAUCACCAGCAUGGGGCCCAUCAAGGACUUGAAAGGCGUACAGAGAGUCAUGGGAUGCCUUGUGGCUCUGAGCCGCUUCAUCUCGCGCCUCGGCGAAAGAGGCCUGCCUCUGUACCGCCUCUUAAGGAAGGCCGAGUGCUUCACUUGGACCCCUGAGGCCGAGGAAGCCCUCGGGAACCUAAAGGCGCUCCUUACAAACGCGCCCGUCUUGGUGCCCCCCGCUGCCGGAGAAGCCCUCUUGAUCUACGUCGCCGCGACCACUCAGGUGGUUAGCGCCGCGAUUGUGGUUGAGAGACGAGAAGAGGGGUAUGCAUUGCCCGUCCAGAGGCCAGUCUACUUCAUCAGCGAGGUACUGUCCGAGACCAAGAUCCGCUACCCACAAAUUCAUAAGCUGCUAUACGCGGUGAUCCUGACGCGGCGGAAGUUGCGGCACUACUUCGAGUCUCAUCCGGUAACUGUGGUGUCAUCCUUCCCCCUGGGGGAGAUCAUCUGGUACCGAGAGGCCUCGGGUAGAAUUGCAAAGUGGGCGGUGGAAAUCAUGGGCGAAGCGAUCUCGUUCGCCCCUCGGAAGGCCAUCAAGUCCCAGGUCUUGGCGGACUUCGUGGCUGAAUGGGUUGACACCCAGCUCCCAACAGCUCCGAUCCAACCGGAACUCUGGACCAUGUUCUUCGAUGGGUCACUGAUGAAGACAGGAGCAGGCGCAGGCCUGCUCUUCAUCUCGCCCCUCGGAAAGCACCUACGCUACGUGCUACGCCUCCAUUUCCCGGCGUCCAACAAUGUGGCUGAGUACGAGGCUCUGGUCAACGGGUUGCGCAUCGCCAUCGAGCUAGGGGUCCGACGCCUCGACGCUCGCGGCGACUCGCAGCUCGUCAUCGACCAAGUCAUGAAGAACUCCCACUGCCGCGACCCGAAGAUGGAAGCCUACUGCGAUGAGGUUCGGCGCCUGGAAGACAAGUUCUACGGGCUCAAGCACAACCACAUCGCCCGACGCUACAACGAGACUUCGGACAAGCUGGCUAAAAUAGCCUCGGGGCGAACAAUGGUUCCCCCGGACGUCUUCUCCCGAGACCUGCAUCAACCCUCCGUCAAGACCGACGACACGCCCGAGCCCGAGAAGGCCUCGGCCGAGCCUGAGGCACCCUCGGCUCAGUCCGAGGUACCCUCGGCUCGGCCCGAGGCACCCUCGGCCCAACCUGAGGUACCCUCGGCUCAGUCCGAGGUACCCUCGGCUCGGUCCGAGACACCCUCAGUUCGGCCCGAGGUACCCUCGGCCCUCGAGGGCGAGGCACUACGCAUCGAGGAGGAGCGAAGCGGGGUCACGCCUAAUCGAAACUGGCAGACCCUGUACCUGCAAUAUCUCCACCUAGGAGAGCAACCCCUCGACCGAGCCGAAGCUCGGCGGUUGGCGCGGCGCGCCAAGUCGUUUGUCUUGCUGGGGGACGGGAAGGAACUCUACCACCGCAGCCCCUCAAGCAUCCUCCAGCGAUGCAUUUCCAUCGCCGAAGGCCAGGAGCUCCUACAAGAGAUACACUCGGGAGCUUGCGGCCAUCACGCAGCACCUCGAGCCCUUGUUGGAAACGCCUUCCGACAAGGUUUCUACUGGCUGACAGCGGUGGCCGACACCACUAGAAUUGUCCGCACCUGCGAAGGGUGUCAGUUCUACGCAAGGCAGACCCACCUGCCCGCUUAGGCCCUGCAGACGAUACCCAUCACCUGGCCUUUUACUGUGUGGGGUCUGGACCUCGUUGGCCCCUUGCAGAAGGCACUCGGGGGCUACACGCACCUGUUGGUCGCCAUCGACAUAUUCUCCAAGUGGAUCGAGGUCCGACCCCUAAACAGCAUUAGGUCCGAACAGGCAGUGGCGUUCUUCACCAACAUCAUCCAUCGCUUUGGGGUCCCGAACUCCAUCAUCACCGACAACGGCACCCAGUUCACCGGCAGAAAGUUCCUGGACUUCUGCGAGGAUCACCACAUCCGGGUGGACUGGGCCGCCGUGGCUCACCCCAUGACGAAUGGACAAGUAGAGCGUGCCAACGGCAUGAUUCUACAAGGACUCAAGCCUCGGAUCUACAACGACCUCAACAAGUUCGGCAAGCGAUGGAUGAAGGAACUCCCCUCGGUGGUCUGGAGUCUGAGGACAACGCCGAGCUGAGCCACGGGCUUCACGCCGUUCUUUCUAGUCUAUGGGGUCGAGGCCAUCUUGCCCACAGACUUAGAAUACGGUUCCCCGAGGACGAGGGCCUACGCCGACCGAAGCAAUCAAGCUAGUCAAGAAGACUCAUUGGACCAGCUGGAAGAGGCUCGGGACAUGGCCUUACUACACUCGGCGCGGUACCAGCAGUCUCUGCGAUGCUACCACGCCCGAGGGGUUCGGUCCCGAGACCUCCAGGUGGGCGACCUGGUGCUUCGGCUGCGACAAGAUGCCCGAGGGCGGCACAAGCUCACGCCUCCCUGGGAAGGGCCGUUCGUCAUCGCCAAAGUUCUGAAGCCCGGAACGUACAAGCUGGCCAACAGUCAAGGCGAGGUCUACAGCAACGCUUGGAACAUCCAACAGCUACGUCGCUUCUACCCUUAAGAUGCUUUCAAGUUGUUCGUAUGCCUCGUUCCCACGCAAAGUUUAGUCAUCAAGGAAGGGUCAGCCUUGCCUCGGCAAAGCCCGACCCUCCCUCGGGGGCUAAAAGGGGGGAACCCCCCUGCGUCGAAAUUUUCAAUCAAAAGGCUUCCGCGUUCCCUCGGCUAUGUCGGUAGCAGAACCCCAAGAAGCGAAUGCAGGUGCAUGUAAGUGGCAAGGCUGACUGAGCCGAGGGACUCCUACACCUCUAGGUUACGGAUACCUCACUCGUCACCUACCACGAAAUAGGACUCCUACUUGGGCAAGGCAGCCUGCUACUGACGAACGGGGCCGAACAUGCAAAAUGAAAGGAAAAGGGGCACGACUUUAUGCUACGAUAAUAAAGUGUUUUGGGCCUCAACGGCCGCAAAAGACACACGUGCAUUCAAAGGAAACUACUCCGACAGAAUCAGGCGUCGCCCGGGGAAGGAGUCGCGCCUUCGGCUUCGUCCCCGCCUUCGACAGAAUCCACCCCGGCUUCGGACGACGGCGCAGGCGGGAGGAUCUCUGCCUCGAAGGUGGUCGCCAGCACUACGCUCGGGCCCGCGGCGGCCGCGUCGAGCCUCUGGACUUCAGCCAGGGCGGCUUCAUCUUCGUCAGGGAGGCAAUACCCCUCGCUGACCCGCUCCAGAUCCACGACGUAGUGGGAAGCGAGCACGGCGAAGGCCCGCCUGAUGCCGUGGUGUAGCGCCUCGCGGAGUCUACCGCGCACGUGGUCACCCAAUGCCUGCAGGCGACUUUGAGGGGAGCUUCCUGAGGGGAUGUCGCCGAAGCCGAAGACCCGGCAGAAGUCCGAGAUGGCCUCGGACAUGGCCGCGUGGUCGGCCUCCCUCUGCUCGGCCGCCUGGGCAAGCGCCCUGGUGGACUCAUCAAGGGCAGACUCGAGCUCUGCGAGCAGCCAGAGCGCAAAGCCUCAAACACAAAUGGAGGGAACAAGCUGAAACGAAAACCGAAAACAGCCAGGACAUACCUUCGGCUCGGGCACGCUGCUCCGAGGCUGCGGCCUGGGCUACGGCUAGGUCUGCUGCAAGGGCUCCGGCCCGGCUUUCGGCCUCAGCAGCCCGGCCCCGAGAUUGAUCUCACUCAUCGACGACCUGGUCGAACUCCGACUGCCGUCGCUGCACCUCUGCGCGUGCCGCUGCCGCCUCUGCUCUCAGAUCGGCACAGAGCAACCGAAGGUCCGCCACCUCGGCGCCCUGCUGGGAGAGGCGCGCAGUAGCCCCGACGAGCGAGGUCCUCAGGGAUCACAGCGAGCCCCAGAUAUCGACCUCGUGGCGGAUGAACGACGACUUGGCGGCACUCAGAUCCGUCAGAUCCUGAGGGAAGGAAGCAGGGCGUCACAAAAGACGCCUUGGUCACAAAAAAGGUAUGCCUGAAAUCAUUACCUGGAGGAUCUUAGGGACGUCCCUGCAAAAGACCUCCAAGGAUGACCGGAGCGACCCCACAGUUGCUUCGGCACAAUCGCGGAGCUCGUCCCAAGACUGCUCCUCCCGCUCAUCGUCAAGAACGAAGAAGGGAUCCGAAGCCUCACGGGUCCGGAACCGGAGCAACUGGCGGCGCCUCUCGGAGCUCCGCCGCGCAGGGACAAGGCUGCCGCUCGGCGGGACAGAUCGUGUUUCCACGCCCCCCUCCUCCGAGGCACCGAGCGCCGACGCCUCGGCCAUCUCAGCGUCGGCAGCGAUAGGUCGCUCCCCGACUGGGACGGCAGCGGCUUCAGCAGCAGCUGGCGCCAGCGCCGGCGGCAUGUCCGGUGGGCCCGAGGCCACGACCGCGCCAGCCGCCUCCCCUAGCGCGACGGCCACCUCGACAGAAGAGCCAGCCUCGGGAACUCGCUCCACGGCGACUGGUGCCGCCUGAGCCCCCCGCUGUGGAGCGCCUUGCGAGAAGGUCAGCUGAACGGCGAGGCCCGCGCGGCACCGGCUGCGGAAGCCGACGCCGUCUUAAGGGCUUUCCGGGGAGCCAGAUCGGUCAGGCCAUGGCUUCGCUUGCUGAGGAAGAAAGGAAAGUCGCGGUCGGGACAUACGAAUGAGGAGCCAGGACGAAGAUGUUCCAAGGUACUUACCCGCUCCGGGCCAUGAUCAGCCGCGCAUGAGGAGAGGUCUCUCGGAUCUCGACCCCCGAAGGUACCGCCGAGGUCCGCCUCGUCGCCAGCUUCGGUACCGUCCUCGCCUUGGGCACCUUGGACGCCCGGGAGACGGACUGCCCAGGUGCUGCCAUGGCGACCUGAGGGUCACUCUCCUGUGCUGCCGGCGUGGGCGAUGGCUCUCGGGGAACAGACGCCUCGGCCUGACUCCCCGGGGUCACCUCAAUUUCCCCGGCCGAGGGGUCAAGAACCCCCUCGGUUUUCCCCUGCUCUUCGGGCCGGGACCUCGGCGUCCCGACUCCGGGAACUGACGGCGCCAGCCCGCUCGGGGGCUGGCUUGACGACUCCUGGCCUAGCCUCAAACCCGGGCUGAGGCCGAGGCGGGCAGCCAUGUCGUCAUCCUCGUCAUCCUCGUCGUCGUCAGGCGUUUCCGGCGACGGCUCCCUCGGGAGUCCAUCCCUCUCCUGUCGACGACAGAGCUUUUCCAAGGCGUCUCGGGCCCGUGUCCGCUCGCGGGCCCGAGCCUUCUCCGCGUCCUUCUUCUUCUUCUCCUCCGCGGCAACCCGCCGCGCUGCUCGGUCCACCGCGUCCUCCGGGACCCGUGGCCGGGAAGGCUUGUGCCACCCUACCUCCUGGGGACAGAUGAAAAGUCUCGACCGUAAGGACCAAGGGCAAUCCGACGCAAGGAGAAAGAAGGAGCGGACACUCACCAGGGUCACACACCCGUGGUCGGGGCGCAUCAAGGGCUGAGAGAAGGCGCUGGCGUCCGGUUUUCCCAACGCGACGGCCACCCGCCCGUGGAGAACGUCGAUGGGAAGGGGAUCCGAGGACAUCUGCGAGCCCUCCAAGUCAGCCUCCGGCUUCAUCUCCCAAAGCGGCAACCGCCGCUCCGCCAAGGGAAGCACCCUCCGGCGGUGAAUGGCGGCAAUCACUCCCGCGGCGGUGAGCCCUCCUUUCCGCAACGCCUCCAGGGCCUUGAGGAGGGGCUCGAGGUUCUUCUGUCUGUCGUGCGGGGUCCCGUAGCGCCAAGCAUCGGCGGCGACGGUGACCACUCGCUGAGAAAACGGCGGGAGCAUCUCGCCGUCAUUCCGGAGGUAGAACCACCGGCGCUGCCACCCUUUAUUCGAGGACGCAAGGAUGGCGGGAAUAUACUGCGACGCCCGCGACUGCCUCAGCUGGAGGAUGCAGCCGCCGGCCCGCACUGCCGCGCGGACCCUUCUCUCCCCCGUCGGCGAAGCAAAAAGCUCCGCGGAAAAGAGAUGAGUCCACAAGUCCCAGUGGGGAGCGAUCCCCAAGUAUCCUUCGCACACCGCUACGAAGAUGGCGGCUUGCGAGAUGGAGUUGGGGCUGAGGUUGUGCAACUCCACCACAUAGUUGUGCAGGAUCGCCCGCAUGAAGCGGCUUGCCGGCACACCGAAUCCCCGCUCGUGGAAGGAGACGAAGCUCACGACGUACCCCGGCGGCGGGGACGGAGCGGCUCCGCUCGCGGGGGGAAUCCACUCCGGCUGCCUCUCAUCAGAGAGAGGGCGAAGUAAACCCUCAGCAACAAGAUCCUCCAGGUCAUCCGCCGUGACUGUGGAGAAAGGCCAUGGGUCGCGCGGCGAGACGAUGGUCACCCGGUCGGCCAUCACCGAGCAAAAGGGGUGGCGGCGGAAAGGACUGGGUGGGCGGUUUCCUUUUCUCUGGCUAAACCUCUCAGGUUGCGAAAACAUAAGAAAGAGGCGAGAAGUGGAGCAAAGAACCGUCGCCAGACCCUCCCCCGAGUAUAUAAAGACCAAGGCGAGACCCGUUCAACGUUUCGCCCGGACCCGCCGCGGGAUUCAAAAACUCAAAGCGAAACGACCGUUCCUCGAACGGCUCGCGCACGCGCAACGGCCGCCCCGCGAACCGCUCGCCCCAUCGCAUUAAUUCUGCGGCGGGACAGGCGGUGCCUCUGGCAGGAGAAGCAAGCGACGCUUCGCCUUCGCCAUAAUGACCGCGUCAAAAAAGGUACGCCACGUCAUUCGAUUUCGUAUCCUUUUCCUUUUCCUCUUUCUCUCUCUUACAACAGGGACCGGGAAAGGGGGAUACCCCAAAAAGGAUCCUUCUCCGUGAAGGAAACAGGCUUCGAGCCUCCCUACUGAUCAGAGGUUCAAAGGCUAGCCCCUCGGAGGGGUUUAACAGCCGCCUCAGAGCGCGUGGGCUCCACACCCACUACUGGUCAGAGGUUCGAAGGCCGGCCCCUCGGAAGGGUUCAACGGCCGCCUCAGGCCACUCGGGCUCCGCGCCCACUACUGAUCAGGGGUUCAUAGGCUAGCCCUCGAAGGGUUCACAACCGCCUCAGACACAGAGUGAGGGAUGACCUUGGGUACGUUCGAUACAUAACCAAGGCUCGGGCUACGCUCCCGAGGUACCCUAGGACAUUUCCGAGACCAGCGGGAACGAUCUUGUAACGGAAUCCCAUCAGAGGGAGGCAUCGAGCCCUUGGACCCCGUCGACAGGGGACCGGGUCCGGCAGAUCACCCGCAAGUACUUUUGAGCGCGCCUCUGGGCCUCUAGCCGACCCCUAACAAAUGGGGCACGGGCGUCCACUCGGAUUACCCGCCAGCAGCUCACCGGAGACACCAUGUUCGGCGCCCUCCGAGGGCAACAUGGCGCUUUCCCCCCCUCCUCCUUGCAGAAAGGCGACACAGGGGCGUAUGUAAAAAAGUCGAGUCUGUCCUUGACCGUCCUCUCGCCCUGUGCAGAGGCUUGGGGGCUGCUCUCGCAAACCCGGCUCUGGCCAAACCGUUGACAGCGUCAACAUACCAGCCCGAGAACUUGGGACCCGACCGUGCACCCAGGCUACGGCCAGCUCGCAUGAGGGAACGACCAGACCAGCCGAAGCAUUGCGCGAGGCAUUAAGACCUUGGAGGAGUCAAACCACUCCUCCGAGGCCUCGGGGGCUACACCCGGCGGGUGCGCUCGCGCGCACCCACCGGAACAAAACGCAACCGAGAAAGGCUGGUCCCCUUGCAAAAAAGUGCGACAAAAGCCUCCAAGCGAGUAUUAACACUCCCUUCGAGGCUCGGGGGCUACUGUCGAGGACCAUAAUUAGGGUACCCUCAAGACUCCUAAUUCUCAGCUGGUAACCCCCAUCAACACAAAGCUGCAAAGGCCUGAUGGGUGCGACUAAGUCAAGGAUCGGUCCAUUCGAGGGACCCGAUCACGCCUCGCCCGAGCCCAGCCUCGGGCAAGGGCAGCUGACCCUGGAGGAUCUACGUCUCGCCCGAGGCCCCCUCCAGCAACGGACACACCUUCGGCUCGCCUGAGGCCCAGUCUUCGCCAAGAAGCAACCUAGGCCAAAUCGCCACGCCAACCGACCAAAUCGCAGGAGCAUUUAAUGCAAAGGUAGCCUGACACCUUUAUCCUGACACGCGCCCUCCGGUCGACAGAGCCGAAGUGAUCGCAGUCACUUCGCCGCUCCACUGAGCGGUCUGACAAGAGGACAGCGCCGCCUGCGCCGCUCCGAUUGAUGUGCCACUCCACAAAGUGAGGCUGACAAGCAGCCAGGCCCGGCCUCAGGCGCCAUAGGAAACUCCGCUCCGCCCGACCCCAGGGCUCGGACUCGGGCUCAGCCCUGGAAGACGACGAACUCCGCUCCGCCCGACCCAAGGCUCGGACUCGGGCUCAGCCCUUGAAGACGACGAACUCCGCUCCGCCCGACCCCAGGGCUCGGACUCGGGCUCAGCCCCGGAAGACGACGAACUCCGCUCCGCCCGACCCCAGGGCUCGGACUCGGGCUCAGCCCCAGAAGACGACGAACUCCGCUCCGCCCGACCCAGGGCUCGGACUCGGGCUCAGCCCCGGAAGACGACGAACUCCGCUUCGCCCGACCCCAGGGCUCGGACUCAGCUCUGGCCUCAGUCGACGGUCUCUGCCUCGCUCGACCCAGGGGCUCGGACUCGACCUCGGCCUCGGAAGACAGACUCGACCCCGACCUCGGAGGAGCCUCCACAUCGCCCAACCUAGGGCACGGACCGAGCACGUCAACAGGAGGCGCCAUCAUUACCCUACCCCAAGCUGACUCAAGCUACGGGGAACAAGACCGGCGUCCCAUCUGGCUCGCUCCGCCAGACAAGUAAUGAUGGCGCCCCGCACGCUCUAUGACGACGGCGGCUCUCAGCCCCCUUACGGAAGCAAGAGGACGUCAGCAAAGACUCGACAGCCCCGACAGCUGUCCUUCCGCCAGGCUCCAGCGCUCCUCCGACGGCCACGACACCACACGAACUAGGUGCCAAAACCUCUCCGACUGCCACGAUGGCAUGUACUUAGGGCGCUAGCUCUCCUCCGCUAGACACGUUAGCACACUGCUACACCCCCCAUUGUACACCUGGAUCCUCUCCUUGCGCCUAUAAAAGGAAGGACCAGGGCCCUCUUACAGAGGGUUGGCCGCGCGGGGAAAGGACAAGACAGGCGCUCGCGUGAGGCCGCUCGCUCCCUCCCGCGUGGACGCUUGUAACCCCCUACUGCAAGCGCACCCGACCUGGGCGCGGGACUAGCACGAAGGCCGCGGGAUUUCCACCUCUCACGCCCGUCUCCCUCCGGCUGCCUUCCCCCCUUCGCGCUCCGUCUCGCGCCGACCCAUCUGGGCUGGGGCGCGGCGACAAUUCACUCGUCGGCCCAGUGACCCCCCGGUCUCAAAACACCGACAAAAAGAUUGACCUUGUGAGGCUAAAUAGCGACAAUCUACGACUCUACCAUAAAAACUCCUCGUCGUAUCUCUAGGCAGCUGAACAAUUAGGGGUUGAUAAGCAACCAACCAAAAGAUCACCUCUUCAAUAACAUCUACAACUUCUUGCACAUGACCUGGCUAAAUGGAAAAGAUGAUGCUAUGUUGCUUAAAACAAUUAAGGAGAGCUUCUGCAAUAAGUCCGAUGAUACAAACAAUAAAAUCGUUUGAGAUUAAAGCCAAACAAACAACCUGAAAUGUUAAAACCAGCCAAAAAAAAUCAUGAGUGCGAAAAUCCUCGUGGAUUUUGAUAGGAAACGGGUGAUACCAUCGUGUAUAGAAUCCACUCUGUCCCUACCUACAUCUAGUGCUGGCGUCCACAACGCAUAGGGCAGACCGGCAGAGGCACGCCCCUUGCUAGUCGGGAGGGACCACCACAAAACCUCCCGCCGCCCCACGGAACACGGGAAGAGAGAGAGAGAGAGGAGCAAAGUCAGCAAACGGUGCAGUGUCGAACGCAAGGGCGGCGAGUAGUAACAACAGCACGAGCAGCGGCGAGCGGGCGAGAGCGCCACCAGGCACCAGCAGACCCCUCUUGUCUCUCUCACCACGCUUCCUCUCCCUCGUUGCUUUACUACGCCUUCUCUCCUUUGUCUCUUCCCUCCUUUUUCACCCGGCGACGUCGAGCGAGAACGGCCGGGCCCCAAAAGAGGCCGCAUUCUUGGUGCUUUCUGAACCUUCUUUACUUUGUCCUCAAAUGGCCUCCUCGCUCUCUUCACAUCUCCCUUCACCAUAGGCACAGGCACCUCUCCCCCCCUGCAAGCUCCUCCCUUUCUCGCCUCCUGAUUCUUGCUCUGUCAGCCCAGAGGCAGAGCAAGCAAGCAUCGGCGGCCAUGGCGGCGCCAGGUCGAGCGGCGCUCCUGGCCGCCGCGCUCCUGUUCGGCACUUUCUUCCCAUCCGCGUCCUCUGCGUCCUCGUACCCCGCAAGUGAGCUCCUUUCGCGGCCCCACCGUCUCGUUCGCUCUGCUUCAUCCGCUGAUUAAGUUUUGUUCCGCGUCGGGUGGCAGGGAUUGCGGGCAGGCUCCUGUCCACCACGUCGUCGGCAGUGGCCAAGCAGCUGUGGUCGCUCAAAUCGGCCGCCACCAAGACGGGUAAUCGGCGACCCGUGGCGUCGUCAUUUCCCUCUCCGAUUCUCGGCUCAUUCAUUCGCUGUUUUCUCACCGGGUGUGCCUGCUCCUCCGGUGUCUGGCGGUGUCGGCGGCAGCGACGACGGCCGUGACGGGGCGGUCCAUGGUGAGGUACGAGGGCGGGUACGCGGUGGACACGGUGUUCGACGGCAGCAAGCUGGGGAUCGAGCCGCACGCCGUCGAGAUCACCCCCGCCGGCAACCUCCUCGUGCUCGACUCCAUCAACAGCAACAUCUACAGGGUACAGCUGCCGUUGUCACCAUGUGAGCACGCUCUGCCUCCGACCACUCCCUGCCCUUUUCAGGAUUUUUCUGUCUUCAUGGGAUUCUGCUAAGUGUGCUGCUUCACUCGAUGAUGUGUGAGUAGUGACUAACGAUUUCUGGGUGGUGGUUGGUAGGGACUGAUGUUGCAUGCAAACUUCAUCAAUAACUGUUCCUCGAUUGUGAAAUGCCUGUUAUUUUCUUCAUUGCUAUAGUAUGGGCAAUAUGAAAUGAUAGUUCUUUGCGACUUUCACUCCCCAUGUUUGUGGAGUCAUCGUUCUCGUUCAGGUUUUCUUUUUCUUCACUUCCCUUUGUUGAUGAUGCACUGGUUUACUUCCUGUUUCACACAUCAGAAGUCGAGCAAAUAGACCAUGGUUUUUUUUUCACCAGGAAAAAUAUUUGCAUGAAUUGGUUGCCUGAAAUUGUUAGCGAUAUCUCCUGUCUCAUCUCGUGUCACUAAAAUAUAGGUGACACUUGGAAAUUUCACACUGCAGCCUCACUAUAAGCAACUGCUAUGUCAGUCACACUCAAGAUGACUUGUAUUUUAGGAUAGUGAAGUAGUCAUUCAUGUUUUUUUAGCAUGAGCAUGAGAUGCUUCCCAGAUUAUUAUAUCCAAGCAAUCCAAUUCUGAUGGAUCUUCUGAAAAUGGAUCGAACAAUGCAGAUAGCAGACCAAAGCUCCUUGCUGGUUCUCCAAAAGGUUUAUCUGGCCAUGUGGAUGGAAGACUGCGAGAAGCAAGGAUGAACCAUCCUAAAGGGUUCACUGUGGACGAUAGGGGCAACAUUUAUGUUGCAGACGGCAUGAACAUGGCAAUACGAAAAAUCAGUGAUACAGGUAAGCUAAAAUGGCCCAUUCUGAGGUAGUUCACAUGGCAUUGUCUGGUCCCCCAGUUCCCCUUCUGUUUGUUCUAUGUUUUUUCAUGGAGCUCCUCCUUUAGCACUUGUGCCCAAAAUUGCAUUCUGGACGAGGUAAGCUGUCAGUGUGCCUAAAAAUUGUUUCUCCAGAAAUUAUUUAGUAAUUGAUACCUAGAGGAGAUUGUAGUAAAAGGAAAUCUAACCAGCAUUCUACUCUUGGCUCUUGAUUAGCAAUAUAGUUUGGUUCAAAUUUCUACAAUCAUUUGACAUUCAUUGUUGGUUUUUUAUGUUCAAACUCUUUUAGCACAUUCAUGUUUCUCUUGUAACUAAUUUCUUUCACGACAAAAUAAUCAAUUUACCUUAUUCAGUAGAUAUUACCAAUCUUUAUGCUAAUUGAAUCUGCCUUUAGGUGAAAUUUGUUUGGAUCUUCUUCUGGAUAUAUCUAUUGUAAAUAUCCUUGUUUAUUAUAUUGUAGAUUAAGCUAUUGACAAAUUGUAUUAUAAUAUUCAGGGGUUACAACCAUUGCUGGGGGAAAAUCAAUUAGAGGAGGGCACAUAGAUGGGCCCAGUGAUGAUGCAAAAUUCUCAACUGAUUUUGAAAUCAAGUACAUCAGCAGUAGCUGCUCUCUCUUGGUCAUUGAUAGAGGAAACCAAGCAAUUCGAGAAAUUCCACUCAACGAUGAUGACUGUGCAUAUCAGUAUGAAGCUGGUUUUCCACUAGGUACAUUGCACUUAAGCUCGCCGCUAAUAUUACUUGACCAUAUUUUACUUCUGCUCUGUAAAGACAGUCAUAUGGUCACUGCAUUCAGUGCUCAUGAAAAGGGACCUGUAAAACAUGAAUAUUAAUUACUUUUGAUUUUGAAUGCUCACAGGGUUUGCAUUGCUUUGUGCUGCUGGCUUCUUUGGUUAUAUGCUUGCGAUGCUCCAACGCCGGCUUUUAGGAAUGUCAUCAACAACAGAUGUAAGUUUGUCAUACUUUUUUAUGUGUACCACCCCUCCUCCCCACCCCCAAUGAAAAGGUGCACAUAUGUAAAUUUGCUGACAAGUAGAAUUUAUAACUAAUGUUUGGACCACAGUUUGUAGGCUUGCGGUAAACUAGCACAUUGGUACAUGCAUAUUUCACCAUCAACCUUUGGUUAUGCUACUGCUAAUAUUCUUAUAUUCAUAAUCUUAUGGCUGCAGCCGUGCAGCCUGUGCACCCAAUUUCUGAUACCAAUCCUCACAGCUGCUAGAACCGGAUGUGUGCCACAACAGUUAAAAUGCAAUUUUUAUGGUUAAAAUAAUAUAUGUUUAGAUGAUAUUUCAGCUUUAGAUAACUGGUUUUGUUAGCUAGGCAAUUGAACAAUGAUAAUGUACUGCUUUUGAGAACUCAUCUAUAGAAGGAAGCAUAAAAAAUAAAUGACAAUUUAAUUUUGUUAUCGUAUUGUAGAUCAUUGUUAAAGUAAGAAAAAAAUGACCAAAUGUAUUAUCUUUGUUCAUGUCACUCAUGUAUCAAUGUAAAGUUGCAUCUUUAUUAAACUAAAAUUUUACCUUACAGGAUCCUCAAGCGCCUCCAAGACCCAGCAUUGCAAGUAUCCCUCCAUCAUACCAGAAGCCUUUAAAUCCUUAUAUUCGUCAUCCAUUCAUCCCGAGAGAAGAAACUGCAAAACAGGAAACCGGAGAGGGGUUCUUCACCACAGCUGGCAAACUCAUGGGAGGGGCAAAAUCAUCUGUGGGUGAGAUAUUUGGUUUCAAGAAGAAGCGCCUGAGCAGCCCAUACCAUCAUCAGCAGCAGCAGCAGCGAAGAGCUAACCCGUGGCCAGUGCAAGAAAG
This 31677-nucleotide long non-coding RNA is filed under the name Zea mays. RNAcentral describes it as "long non-coding RNA (ZMAY_LNC003929)". The record is from RNAcentral. Lineage: Eukaryota; Viridiplantae; Streptophyta; Magnoliopsida; Poales; Poaceae.